GACGAACGCUGGCGGCACGCUUAACACAUGCAAGUCGAACGGAGAACAUUGAGCUUGCUUAAUGUUCUUAGUGGCGGACGGGUGAGUAACACGUGAGUAACCUGCCUCUGAGAGUGGGAUAGCUUCUGGAAACGGAUGGUAAUACCGCAUAACAUCAUGGAUUCGCAUGUUUCUAUGAUCAAAGAUUUAUCGCUCAGAGAUGGACUCGCGUCUGAUUAGAUAGUUGGUGAGGUAACGGCCCACCAAGUCGACGAUCAGUAGCCGGACUGAGAGGUUGACCGGCCACAUUGGGACUGAGACACGGCCCAGACUCCUACGGGAGGCAGCAGUGGGGAAUAUUGCACAAUGGGGGAAACCCUGAUGCAGCGAUGCCGCGUGGAGGAAGAAGGUUUUCGGAUUGUAAACUCCUGUCGAAGAGGACGAUAAUGACGGUACUCUUCAAGAAAGCUCCGGCUAACUACGUGCCAGCAGCCGCGGUAAUACGUAGGGAGCGAGCGUUGUCCGGAAUUACUGGGUGCAAAGGGAGCGUAGGCGGGAUGGCAAGUCAGAUGUGAAAACUAUGGGCUCAACCCAUAGACUGCAUUUGAAACUGUUGUUCUUGAGUGAGGUAGAGGUAAGCGGAAUUCCUGGUGUAGCGGUGAAAUGCGUAGAGAUCAGGAGGAACAUCGGUGGCGAAGGCGGCUUACUGGGCCUUUACUGACGCUGAGGCUCGAAAGCGUGGGGAGCAAACGGGAUUAGAUACCCUGGUAGUCCACGCCGUAAACGAUGAUUAUUUGUUGUGGGGGGGAGUGACCCCUUCCCGCGCCGCAGUUAACACAAAAAGUAAUCCACCUGGGGAGUACGGCCGCAAGGUUGAAAAUCAAAAGAAUUGACGGGGGCCCGCCCAAGCAGUGGAGUAUGUGGUUUAAUUUGAAGCAACGCGAAGAACCUCACCAGGUCUUGACAUCGAGUGACGUACUUAGAGAUAAGUAUUUCCUUCGUGACACAAAGACAAAAGGUGCAUGGUUGUCGUCAGAAAAAAAAAAAAGAUGUUGGGUUAAGUCCCGCAACGAGCGCAACCCCUACCAUUAGUUGCUACGCAAGAGCACUCUAAUGGGACUGCCGUUG
This 1107-nucleotide ribosomal RNA is filed under the name uncultured bacterium. RNAcentral describes it as "bacterial SSU rRNA". It matches the Rfam family "Bacterial small subunit ribosomal RNA", at positions 28 to 1157 of the family's 1533-position model. The record is from RNAcentral.